Molecule: transfer RNA, 73 nt
Filed under: Ailuropoda melanoleuca (giant panda)
Lineage: Eukaryota; Metazoa; Chordata; Mammalia; Carnivora; Ursidae
Rfam family: tRNA
About the family: Transfer RNA (tRNA) molecules are approximately 80 nucleotides in length. Their secondary structure includes four short double-helical elements and three loops (D, anti-codon, and T loops).
Source: Rfam by way of RNAcentral
ACCUGGCUGGCUCAGUCAGUAGAGUGUGUGACUCUUGAUCCCAGGGUUGUGGGUUCAAACCCCAUGUUGGGUG